Non-coding RNA from Ictidomys tridecemlineatus (thirteen-lined ground squirrel), 632 nucleotides. NCBI's taxonomy places the organism in Eukaryota, Metazoa, Chordata, Mammalia, Rodentia, Sciuridae. The record is from RefSeq and is a predicted model, not a curated record.
CCAGGCAGACGCUGUGACGCCGCCAGGCUGAGUGACAAUUGCGCUCUGGCUUCUUUGACUUCCAGGUCCCACAUGGGCUCCUCUCCCCCGAGAUCCGCUGCUUCCUGUUGCUUCGCUGGCUAAUUCCUAACACCAGCUCCUACUUGGAGUCUCGUUGCGGAUCCUUCCUCCUGGAACCCUUCCCUGAGCCUGCAAACCCGUGCCACAGCUCGCUUGGUGCUGCUUGAGCUUCCUCUGCGCUGGCACAGGAGCUGGUGAGAACAGGUCUGUACCGAGAGGGAGCCGAGGCUCAGUCCCCUUCCAGGGGACGCAGGAAGCCGGAGCCAGUCCAGCCCUGGACCCUGAGCUUCCCGGGCUGGUACUUCUCACCCUCAGAAACUUGGAUGAAGAAAAAAAAUAUGUCCUUCACACCACGGAAAUACCAAGUGAAUACCACAAGCAAGAUAGGGGAAGGUUGUGCUCCACCACUUAAAGGCAGCACGUAUCUGUGAGACAUGAUGGGUCAAGCUGCCACACUGUGUGAUAAAAAUGUAAGUGUAAAUGUAAUGGAAAGGAACAAAAUGUAAUAAGGUUGCAGAUUCAGCAAAGCAAGCAAAUGAUGGAUAAAUAAAACAACGGUAACCGGCUACUAA